UAACUACUCCCUUCGUUUGAAAACACUUGUCGGGGAAUAAAAAUGAAUGUAUCUAAAACUAAAAUACAUCUUGAUACAUCAAUUUUUUUGAUAAGUAUUUUCGGACGGAGGGAGUAUGUU
Non-coding RNA from Triticum aestivum (bread wheat), 120 nucleotides. Lineage: Eukaryota; Viridiplantae; Streptophyta; Magnoliopsida; Poales; Poaceae. The record is from Rfam.